UCCAAAGUGAGACCCCAGAAUACUCUGGAUACAGCUCGAGAGCAUUAUCAGCUGUUUUAAAACAAGAAAACUGACCCAGGAGGCAAAGGGUUGACUGAAAGAGACAGGGAAUAUGUGAGGUGGACCUUAGAUGAGAAGGAGGAAGAACAUUCUGGCUGCAGGCAUGGAGAUUGAGAAGCUACCAAGAAGAGGGCAUGGGAAGGAGGGAGAAACAGGCUCCACAGACCUUGAAGCAGAUGAGAAAACAGCAAAGGAAUUCAAGUGGAAUUCUCUGGAGUGGGAGGGGCAGGCAGCACUUGCAGCUGACACCCGUGAACUUAUACUUGGCUCCGAGCACACUGAUGUUUCUGGAGAUUUACUCCCAGGGCCCAGUCACAAACAAAAGAGGAGACACUGAAGAUCAAAGAGGAGCGACUCCCAGGAGAUACACAAAUGUCACAGCCAAGGGAAACAGCCACAAAGUGGACUUGCCUUUGUCUUUGGUAUCCAGUCUCCCAGAAGCACUUUGAAUGAGCAGACUGCAAAUGGCACUUGGGGAGUCAGAAGUGACCAUCUGUCCUACGCAGAAAGCCUCCUGGAUAGCUGCUAUUACAGGAAUGGACCACUGCGCCCACCUGAUUGUUUUCCCAAUCACAGCCACAACACACUGAUAUUAAGAGGAGCAGUUUCAAUGGGCAAUAACAGUCAUGACCAUCAUCAGUCCACUGAAGAAUUUGUCACAGUCUGCUCCUGUGACACGGCCAUGUAUUUUUGAUCCUGAUAAACAAUGGAAACCUGAUUUGUUCUAUAAAACUGCCAUAGGAAACUGUGAAAGGUACUCUGAAGACAAGCCGAACAUUUCCACCCCAUGGCACAGCUAAAAGAGGAACCACUGAAUAUUUUCUUCAAGUUCAUGAUUUUAGAGCUGGCAAAAGAAAGCUACUGGGUUCUGCCUGGAACUCAUGGGCUGGGAGGGCUGACUUUCAAAGUUCUUGGACUAUAAAAAGCUCCAAUGUUCACACAGAGUUCUGUGUAGGAUGAGUAGGAGGGGGUAUAAUAAGAAAGAACAGUAUUUUGGUCCUUUGGCAGAUUUUAUUCCUUCAUUCCAGCCUCCCACUGAGAUGGGUUAGGAUGUGCAAACCAUGCCAGAAUGCCCCCAGCCUCCUGGCCUGCCACCCUCUGUCCUGCAGGCCUUCUUCUUCCUCAUUCCCAAAGAGAGCUCCAAUAUUUCCGAUGGGGUUUCCUUCUAUGAGUAUUUCACCUGGAACAUUUACAAUCACCACAAUUUCUAUCCUGUAAAGCAUUUUCUACCAAACUCAAGACAAAAAUAAACCAUGGGAUGCUUAAAUAAGCCUCCGGUUCAAAGGCAUGAAAAUAAAAAUGGUUGCAAUGA
Mesocricetus auratus (golden hamster) is the source of this 1372-nucleotide long non-coding RNA. RefSeq lists it as uncharacterized. The transcript is spliced from 6 exons. NCBI's taxonomy places the organism in Eukaryota, Metazoa, Chordata, Mammalia, Rodentia, Cricetidae. The record is from RefSeq and is a predicted model, not a curated record.